GACGAACGCUGGCGGCGUGCCUAAUACAUGCAAGUAGAACGCUGAAGAGAAGAGCUUGCUCUUCUUGGAUGAGUUGCGAACGGGUGAGUAACGCGUAGGUAACCUGCCUGGUAGCGGGGGAUAACUAUUGGAAACGAUAGCUAAUACCGCAUGAUAUUAAUUGUCGCAUGAUAAUUAAUUGAAAGAUGCAAUUGCAUCACUACCAGAUGGACCUGCGUUGUAUUAGCUAGUUGGUGAGGUAACGGCUCACCAAGGCGACGAUACAUAGCCGACCUGAGAGGGUGAUCGGCCACACUGGGACUGAGACACGGCCCAGACUCCUACGGGAGGCAGCAGUAGGGAAUCUUCGGCAAUGGGGGGAACCCUGACCGAGCAACGCCGCGUGAGUGAAGAAGGUUUUCGGAUCGUAAAGCUCUGUUGUAAGAGAAGAACGGGUGUGAGAGUGGAAAGUUCACACUGAGACG
Molecule: ribosomal RNA, 464 nt
Filed under: Streptococcus sanguinis
Lineage: Bacteria; Bacillati; Bacillota; Bacilli; Lactobacillales; Streptococcaceae
Description: bacterial SSU rRNA
Rfam family: Bacterial small subunit ribosomal RNA
Source: RNAcentral